CCCUACGGGACGCAGCAGUGGGGAAUAUUGCACAAUGGGGGGAACCCUGAUGCAGCGACGCCGCGUGGGUGAAGGAGUAUUUCGGUAUGUAAAGCCCUAUCAGCAGGGAAGAACAAUGACGGUACCUGACUAAGAAGCACCGGCUAAAUACGUGCCAGCAGCCGCGGUAAUACGUAUGGUGCAAGCGUUAUCCGGAUUUACUGGGUGUAAAGGGAGCGCAGGCGGCGCGUUAAGCCUGGUGUGAAAGCCCGGGGCCCAACCCCGGGACUGCUCUGGGAACUGUGCGGCUGGAGUGCGGGAGGGGC
RNAcentral lists this ribosomal RNA (305 nucleotides) under uncultured bacterium. RNAcentral's name for it is "bacterial SSU rRNA". It matches the Rfam family "Bacterial small subunit ribosomal RNA", at positions 337 to 658 of the family's 1533-position model. The record is from RNAcentral.